UUCCAAACUAACUUUCUUAAACAUGUCAAAACACAUGUGAACACAUACAUGUAUAAAUUCAAUUUAAAAAGCACUUAUUUGUAAAUCUACCAAAUAUAAGUAAAUAAUCUGUAACACAAAAGCUAUCUGAAAAAUAAAAAAAAUAAUAAAAAUAUAAAGUAGUUAAAUUAUAAAUGACUAUUUGCAGAAGCUGUUUAAAGCAUCUGAGCAAGGUCCAUGAAUACUAUGCAGAGAUUCAAAACUGUUACAAAUGAGGAAAUAGAGAAAUUUUUCGACUCCAGGCAAGCAAAAUCAACAAAAAGAAAUACAGCAUGGGGAUUUUUCAAGAUUGGAACAUGGAGAUCUAUGGUUCUGUACUAAUGGUGCAACAUUAGACCUGCAAACAGCAAAUGUGUCAACUCUUGCCAGUCAUCUCUCGUGAUUUUAUUGUGAAGCCAGCCCCAAAGAAAAAGUUGAUGAUGAUGUUUAGCCUUUGUACCACAAAAAUACUUUGAUCAAUAUCAAAGGAGCAAUAAAUCGCCAUCUUGCUGACAUUCAGAAAGAUGUAAAUAUAGUCCAUGACAAGGAGUUCGGAACAGCCAAUGGAAUCUUGGAUGGUUUCUUUAAAGAGCGAACCUGACUUGAUAUUAUCGAGAUACAUGAUCUGCAGAAGAUUUAUAAAUACCUCCAAGGUGCCACAUCAUCACCAGUGGUUUUGCGCCAUGCUGUAUGGUACUUUCAGUCCAUCAAUUUUAUUACCAGAGGUUUAGAGUUCCACCAUAAGUUUAAUCAUAACAGCUUUGUCUUCUGCACAGAUGAAACUGGCCAAUAUGCUGCAUUACAACACAAAACAUUACAAAAUAAUCAUCAAGGUGGUGUAGAUGCCGAUGACAGCCAUACAGACAAGAGAAUGUUCGCAACUGAUAAUGAAAACUGCUGUCAUGUUUAUCUCUUAAAGUUACUGAUGUCAAAAACUGAUUCAAAAGCUACAAAUCUUUUCAACCAAUACAUAUAAGAGAGAGUUCAUUCUGAUAUUUGGUAUUCAGCAAAACCCCUGCCAAAGCGCACUUUCAACAAGUCUCUCGGGGAGAUUUGCUUUGCUGCUGGUGUGGAGCAUAAAUACACAUCCCACUGUUUACGGGCCACUGCAAACACUUACCUUAAUGAUCAGGGAUUUGAAGCACGACAUAUCAUGUUCAUGUCGAACCAAAGGAAUGAGAGUUCAAUGAGGUCAUAUAACAGAUCGCUCUCCUCUAAACAAAAAAAAAAAGCAUUCUGCGAUGGCGUCUGCAUCUUCACCCCCUUUUACGAUCGUAGCUCUUCCACCGCUGUCGACCAGGUUCUUGAACUUGCCACCACGAACCCAUGAAAAUCAGGCUCUACUUGAAAACUUACCGUCACCAUCAGCACAUGAGACCACAACUCUCAUAUCGUCAAAUUCCACAGCCACAUCAUCGUCCUCCAUGCCAGCAACAUUGAAAACAGUUAACAUGAACAUGCAAAACAUUAAUCCAACAGCUUGGUUUUUCAAUAAUGCAAACUUCAGGGAGAGCACAUUUCGUUUUACUCAGUUGUGCUUACUGUAUUGUUACGUGUUGAUAAUGUUUAUUCUUAAUGAAU
Molecule: long non-coding RNA, 1599 nt
Organism: Magallana angulata
Lineage: Eukaryota; Metazoa; Mollusca; Bivalvia; Ostreida; Ostreidae
Exons: 3
Source: RefSeq, a predicted model, not a curated record